Molecule: long non-coding RNA, 7222 nt
Filed under: Selaginella moellendorffii
Lineage: Eukaryota; Viridiplantae; Streptophyta; Lycopodiopsida; Selaginellales; Selaginellaceae
Description: long non-coding RNA (SMOE_LNC000215)
Source: RNAcentral
CAUGGGCCGCUACAGCUUCAACAACCGAUUGUUCUUGCCGAUGUGCGCUCAUCCAAAGAUCGAUCCAAUCUCUGGCGAGCUCUUCGCGGUUAGCUUCAAUCCAGUGAUCAAUCCCCACCUCCGCUACUUCUGGGCGAGCCCGGACGGGAGGAAGAGCCCCGAUUUCGACGUGUGGCUGCCGGACCCGUGCUUACUUCGCGAUAACAGAGAACUACGCAGAGAAUCAGCUCGUGAUGAAGUUCCAGGAUGUAUUGCUCAAGAACAACCUGGUCAUUGAUGGAGAUACCGCCAAGGUUCCCAGAUUCGGGGUCAUCCCUCGCAUCCCGACUGUGGGAUCUCCCGGCAUUCGCUGGAUCGACAUCCCGGAUUGGACAUCAUUCCACUACAUCAACGCCUGGGAGGAAGGGACGGACAAGAUUGUCGUGCUCAGCUCGUCCAUUACGCCGGUGGAACAUCUGUUUGACGAUAUAUCAACGGAUUGUCCAACAGAUUGAACGAGAUCCACCUGGACCUUCGAUCUGGACGGUCGUGGAAGCAACACGUGUGCUCAGCCAGACUGGAUUUUGGACAGAUCAACCAGAAAUUCUUGGGGCGGAAGAAUUGGUACGUCCAUAUGUGCUACUAUGGGCCAUGGCCCAAAUUCUCGGGCCUGGCCAAGGUCGAUCUGGACGCUCCACGAGUGUGGUAAUUGACGGAACAAGUGACCCGGACCUCAACAAGCCGUGCAUUGUGGCGUCGAGGAGAUUCGAACGAGGUCAGUUUUGUGGCCAGCCUUUCUUUGUGACGAAUGGCGAGGAGGAAGACAAUGGAUACGUCUUAAGCUACGUCCACAAUGAGGAAAGUGGUGUCUCAGAGCUUUUUGGUCAUGGAUGCCAAAUCGCCAACUCUUGAGACAGUGGCUUCUAUAGAGUUGCCUGCUAGAGUUCCAUAUGGAUUCCAUGGGAUCUUUAUAAAUUCCGAUCAAAUAGCCAACCAGAACCAUGCCACCUUGUAAGAAAAUUUGUAAAUUGAUAUAUCUCUUGUAAAUAUCUAAUCCAUGUAACUAUGUGAGGAUUCGCAAUAAGAACAUAUGGAGCACUGUUACUUGGCUCCACACUAUGGUAUCACCCUGUGAUCUGGCAUUUUUUAAAAAUUCACAGCGUUUUCUCUAACCUUUGGUUGUUUACAUGCUGCCAGCAUGGUAGUCCACACACACCUUUGAUUCUUUAACUUUUCCAGAUGCCCUUUCCUGGCAUUAGAGCAAACCAGGGCAGCAUUACAUUGCAAGAAAAAGCGUCUGCAUUAAGAAAUUUUCUCAGCAAUUCUACUGUUGUUGCUCCAUGGACUCACUUUCCACCACGCCAAGCAUACAAGCACUUCUGAGGGAGCCCAAGAAAAUUCUCUUUGCCUUUUGCAAAUGCAGACUUUGGCAUAGAUACAAGACCCCCCUACUUGGCACAUUUGAUAGAAUCGUGCUCCAAGAGAUUAAGCUCCUUUCUGGCAUUACUUUAUCCAAAUGCCUGUUACUGGCAUAAUCAGGAACGUCGUCUGCUUGUUGGAGGAAUCCAUACCAAGAGAAGGCAGUGAUCAUGAUCGUCCCACUCGGGCAUUCAAUCAACCAGCUGCUUGGCCUGGUCAAGAGAUGUGAAGGUGAAGAGCAUGGCAUUCAACGAGAAUCAAUUCCUCAAUCUCAUGCCAUCUAUGCACCUUAUAUACACUGCACCACCAAAUUGGACGUCAGAUAAUUUCAUGCCGCAAGGAGGUGCUUGAUAUAUUUGUGGCUGGAGCAUCCCGUUAAACACCAUCUUGUUUUAGUCUCUGAUGUGAACUAUAGCAAAACUUUUUCACUAAUUGUCAAAAUAGCUAGUGUAUCUGGUCAAAGACCUAUCAAUGGUCAAGUGCGUCAAACGGUCAAUCAAUUAUUUUGGAAUCUUGACUGUGAGUCUUUCUCGGCACACUCCCAUUCGAUUACAUUCUUUCUUGUUCUUGGUGGAGACGUCCAACACUUCAGAAGUGCGACACGGUGGAGAAUUUCAUCUCCACGUACAUUGAUCUUCGCGAGUUUCCUCCCUCGCAAGACCCCAAGAUCCAGCUCGCGGAUAAUUUCGCGCCUGUUGGAGAGAUCCCGCCAACGCCGUGCCGCCGAGUCACUGGCGAGAUCCCUCGCUGCCUCCGCGGCGGUGCUUACAUCCGCAAUGGCUCCAAUCCACUCCAUCCCCCUCCCGCCGGCUACAACUACUUCGACGGCCACGGGAUGCUCCACUCUGUCAAGUUCGGCGAUGAAGAAGAUCAAGCUCCAGUCUACUGCGCGCGAUUCACCCAGAACAAUCGAUUCGUCCAGGAGCAAGCAGCGGGCAAGCCUCUCUUCCCCUACACGCUGGGCACCAUGAGCAGCUAUGCCGGGCUCGCACGAUUCGGGCUAUUCGUGAUGCGCACGGCUCUGGGCCUGAUCAAUAUCUUGGGCGGGAUGGGAACCUCCAACGCUGGGAUGGCCUACUUCGAUCGCCGAAUCCUGGCCAUGUCCGAGGAUGAUAUGCCAUAUGCCGUGAGUAUCACCCCAGCAGGGGAUUUGAUCACCAUGGGCCGCUACAGCUUCAACAACCGAUUGUUCUUGCCGAUGUGCGCUCAUCCAAAGAUCGAUCCAAUCUCUGGCGAGCUCUUCGCGAUUAGCUUCAAUCCAGUGAUCAAUCCCCACCUCCGCUACUUCUGGGCGAGCCCGAACGGGAGGAAGAGCCCCGAUUUCGACGUGUGGCUGCCGGACCCGUGCUUGUUUCACGACUUCGCGAUAACAGAGAACUACGCAAUCCUGCCAGAGAAUCAGCUCGUGAUGAAGUUCCAGGAUGUAUUGCUCAAGAACAAACUGGUCAUUGAUGGAGAUACCACCAAAGUUCCUAGAUUCGGGGUGAUCCCUCGCAUCCCAACUGUGGGAUCUUCCGGCAUUCGCUGGAUCGACGUCCCGGAUUGGACGUCAUUCCACUACAUCAACGCCUGGGAGGAAGGGAUGGACAAGAUCGUCGUGCUGAGCUCGUCCAUUACGCCAGUAAAACAUUUCUUUGACGAUUUCGCCAGAUUGUCCAACAGAUUGCACGAGAUCCACCUGGACCUUCGAUCUGGACGGUCAUGGAAGCAACACGUGUGCUCAGCCGGACUGGAUUUUGGACAGAUCAACCAGAAGUUCCUGGGGCGGAAGAAUCGGUACGUCUACAUGUGCUACUAUGGGCCAUGGCCCAAAAUCUCCGGCCUGGCCAAGGUCGAUCUGGACGCUCCACGGCUGCCCAGGGUGGUCAUCGACGGAACGAGUGACCUGGACCUUAAUGAGCCGUGCAUUGUAGCAUCAAGGAGAUUCGAACGAGGUCAGUUUUGUGGCGAGCCUUUCUUUGUGGCAAAUGGCGAGGAGGAAGAUGAUGGAUACGUUUUAAGCUAUGUCCAUGAUGAGGAAAGUGGUGUCUCGGAGCUUUUGGUCAUGGAUGCCAAAUCACCCACACUUGAGACAGUGGCUUCUAUAGAGUUGCCUGCUAGAGUUCCAUAUGGAUUCCAUGGGAUCUUUAUAAAUUCUGAUCAAAUAGCCAACCAGAACUAUGCCACUUUAUAAGAAAGUUUGAUAUAGUUGUAAAAUCUCUUGUAAAUAUCUAACCUAUGUAACUAUGUGAGAAUUGGCAAUAAGAACAUAUGAAGCACUGUUACUAGGCUCCAUACUAAUGGCAAUUUUCAUUGCAUCUCCACUUGCUGCAGCUCCAAGCACUUCCAAUCCAUGGAAUCCAGGUACACUACUCGUGUAUGAUUAGUCAGGGUAUAUCCAAAACACUGAGAAUCUUCUGUGGGAGAUGCCAUAUUAGCUUUAAGGGUUUGAUGGAGUGAUCAAACUAGAAAGACACAAAGAGAUGCUAAGCUAUAGCAUCAGUGCCUUUGUGGACACACAAAGUGAGUAAAGUUGUUAAGUUAGCUUCAUCAAGUGUAUUAAUCCUUCCAAUCGAAAUAUGGAUUGGAUGAUCUCACCUUCGCAAUAAUAUUUUAGGGCUGAGGCAGUACAGUGGAGAAAUUGAGUACAAAAAAGUUGCAAUGCUGACAAAAUAUAUGAACACUCAGAGGACCAAUAAUUGUGUGUCCAUAUAUGCUUGAAAUGCUUUUGCAUUCUGUUUUUAGUCCACUCCUUGUCUAAGGACCAUUGAAAAGAAUGUCAUCACUUUAUAUUCAAAUAUUUACACAUUUGAUGAUUUUAGAAUAUAUCUAUAAGAAUAUACUUAAUAUAUACCUAUUGAGGAUAUCCUCCCACUUCAUUUUUACCCUCAAACCUUCUUAACUCUAAAAUGAAGCAAUAAAGCUUGAAGAAGAGAUUGAGGAAUAAAUAAAAAUAAUGAAUAGUGAAUUUUGAAAAAAAAUUGACAUAUAGAUAUAAAUAGAGUAGAGAAUGUUAUUUUGAUGAAGGAACUCUUCACAAAAAUCUUGGUUAUUUCAGUAAGCAUGGUUUUUUAUAAAUGAUGAUUUUCCUAGCAAAAUGUGAUGGAGAAUCAUAUUCAAAAUUGACUUAACCUUAAGAUAUUGGAUGUGUAUAUGUUUUACUUACUAAAGGGCUUAUAAUGCCUUUUUUUUUUAUUAGUCAUAUAUUAGGUGUAGUUUCAAGUCCAAAGUCACAACAUUAUAGGAUAAAGGCAAAAUAACAAGUUUAUUUUUAUCAUAAUGUCAUUUAACAUUUAUAUUAAUAUUUUAGUGGAUAAAUGUAAAAACAAAUAAAACUUCUCUGUAUAAAACACCUUUAGAUGAUGCAAUAUAAAUCCUUGCAUAGAUAAGAAAGUACUCCCUACAUAAAAUAUCAACUAGCUUAGGCAAAUGACCUUAAUAAAAUAACAUAAAUUGAUUUUUUUUUUUUGUUAUUUUGACUAUGACUAGCAAAUUUUGACUUUUUUGCCUAACCAUUAACACCUAUUAUGAAAAUCAUGCUAUUUCAAUAUAUUAUGCCUAAUGUAUUGAGAGAGAUAGAGAGAGAGAGAAAUGAAGUAUAACCUAAAUGCCUAAGCAAGAACCUUCAUCCACAACACCCAUUGUCAUAUACAUGCAAUCACGUGGCUUUCAAAUUAUGUUAAAGUCAUUCAUCAAACAAGGUAGCCAAUUUGAUUAAGAUCAAAGCUAUAUAAAUUUCUUCCUAAACAUCAAUGGUAUAAGUGCUAAUUCCAUAAAGUUUUUGUAUAUAUGCCAUUUGUCCAAGAAAAAAUUUCACAGAUCUCAAAAGAAAAAUUAAGGUGUAUUCUUUGUUCUAACAUCCCUUUGUUAAAUAAGUAUUGUUCAAGUAUUUUUGUGUUGCUUGAUGCAUCAAACCUAGUGAUAAUAAGUAGCAUAUAGGCUUUGGAAUCCAGGCUGUGAGAGCUGGUGAUGGCAUUCUCUUUCCUGGGACAUUAUCUAAUGGUUUAUUUUUUUAUCAAGGUUUAGGAAUUAUCUCUGAAUUAUUCAAAAGUUAUUUAGGAAUAAUCUUCUAGUUUGAGUGUUUGAAGUUAAAUCUAGGGUUUAGGGUAGACACCAUUAAAUGUCAAGCAAUAUAAUGUUCUCUAGAUUGAUCAAUUUUGGGAAAUCUUGUAGCUUUGGCAUUUCCAACUAUUACUGGGGAUAGAGUGUAGAUUUGCAAAGACUUUUGUUUGCCAAGGUGCACCAUUGCUCUAGAGUGUGUUAUCAUAGCACUAGUUCUAGAUUGCAUCACAAGACAUAAGCACUAAGAAUAUAGCUUAGAUUAAUGCUUGCUAGGGUUAGAAUUUUUUAGAGAGUUUAAAAAUUUAUGGAAGAAAGUGGUGUUAUUACUUUGUCUUGUGCUUGUAGUUUUCCCUCAUCUUUUGAGGUUUAAAACAUUUUUCUAUUUUCUUUACCCCCUAUUCUCAAGUAGGAAACAUAUGCAUAAAGAUGCUAUGAAGGUCAUUAACAAUUAAGUUUAAAAUCCAUCAUGUUCAUAGGUGGAAAUGCAUUUGACAAGGCUUGAGCAAAUAUGUCUGCACUCAACUUGUCUCAAAAACCAUACACAUAAGGUUUGAGAAAAGAAGAUCUCCAAAGUUGUUUAUUCAUAUAUCUCAAUUAGUUAUUGGAUCAGUGGCUUUUAUUAAAACCCCUAAUAAUACUUAAAUUUUAGAUUAUGCAACACCAAGAAUAUACUUUAAAAAAACAAUUAAACCUUUACUCUAAAGGUAUAUAAUAGAUUUUUUAACCCUUUAAGUGAUCCUACCCUAAAUAAAUGUGACCAUUUUAGACUAAUUUCUCUUUUGCAAACUAGGAUUUCUAUCAGUGACACCAAUGUAGUUGGCAUAUUUACUUUAAAAUUCACUCUGGGACCUUCAUCACUCACACAACACCAAAGCUAUAAGAUAGAUACUUCACUAAAAUUUUUAUAAUUAUCUCUCAAAAAGUUCAUAGGAUGGCUAUUCAAGAUGAGAGGUACUUUAGAAGAAGUUACCAAAUUUAUAACACUAUUGUUGACUCUAUAAUAUGAGUUUAAAUGAGAUUCACAACAUAGUUGCAACACUAGCUAACAAGAGCAUUGUCCAGGAUUGGGAGCACUAAUGAUUUAAAGUAGAAAUUAUAAGCCAAAAUUCCUAGAAUAAAAAAUAGAAAAUUUUUUAAAAUAAAUAAAAUUGGCAAAAAUACAUAUUAAGAAUAACUAGAAUUGUUAAUAAAAAUGACAAUGAAGACAAAAAAUCACUAAAACUUCACCAUGUACCAUAAUUCUAUCUAAUGAAAUUCAAAUCAUUCUUCCUAAAAUUUUAUAUAAAAUUUCUAACAGUGUAACUUUAUUUUAGAAUAAUGCUUAUAUAUAGUUUUUUCUCAAAAUCCCACAUAUAAUUGCAUACAUAAUCUUAAAUACCCAUUGUAGGAUUUUUAGUGUAACCCCCACUUUACUACACCUCAAUUAAUUGCCACAAGGUGAGGAUUAUAUUGAAAAAUGCAUUAGGAGGGGUAGUAGGCAGAUUAGUGAAGCCCAAGGUUAGAUUUUACAUGAAUAAUAGCCUAGAUUUCACGUGUGCUCAUCAAAAAUAGAAAUGGUUAACUUCAGUGAUCAAUCCCCACCUCCGUUACUUCUGGGCAAGCCCAGAUGGGAGGAAAGAGAUGAAUUUUUAAGAUGUAGUGCUCAAGAACAAACUGGUCAUUGAUGGAGAUACUACCCAAGGGUCCCAGAUUGAUCCUCCCUCGCAUCCCAGCUGUGGGAUCUUCCAGAUCGACGUUUGGAUGUAAUUCCACUACAUCCACACCUGGGAGGAAGGGAUGGACA